UUUAAUGUUCAAAUAUUAAACCCAGCAGCAGCAGCCAUCCAGCAGAGUACAUGGGGAUAAAUUAUGAAUAAUCGUUGUAAAAUUGUUAAACUG
Molecule: long non-coding RNA, 93 nt
Organism: Etheostoma spectabile (orangethroat darter)
Lineage: Eukaryota; Metazoa; Chordata; Actinopteri; Perciformes; Percidae
Exons: 3
Source: RefSeq, a predicted model, not a curated record